RNAcentral lists this long non-coding RNA (514 nucleotides) under Mus pahari (shrew mouse). Its description in RNAcentral is "lncRNA (MGP_PahariEiJ_G0005023.1)". The record is from RNAcentral. Lineage: Eukaryota; Metazoa; Chordata; Mammalia; Rodentia; Muridae.
GCAAAAAAGGAAGAAAAUGGCUGAGAACCAGCAGCUGAAGAAAGCAAGAAAAUGUGAAUGAAGUCACAAAUGCCACCAAGGAAAAGCAGAACAGAAAAAUAACUUGAGUAUUCAAGAUGGGCAGACUAGUUCAAAGACUCAUCAAGCCUUGUGAAGGGGUGACUCCGAGGAGUUUACCUUCGGGCAGCUCAUACACCAGCUGUCAAUCUGUCCUCACCCUGAGACAGCAAGCCAAGCUCAGGUGUGUAGCGGCUCCACCAGAAAAGAGUAUUGGCCUUCUUUCCCCCAGUGAACAGCUGUAGCCAAAAUGCAGCCCCUGGCACUCCAGCUGUACUGUCACAAGGCGGGGCUAGGAAGGCUCUAAUUCUUGCCUCCCAGAUCACAUACUUUACAACUGAAGAGCAUCUCAGUUUUGCUCUUUAUCCUAUUUUAACCUUUGCCAACUCCUGGUCCUUCACUAAAGCAUUUAAAACAGCAACUGUAAAAAGCCUUGACACUUCAAAUGUCCAUCAGC